GAUGAACGCUGGCGGCGUGCCUAAUACAUGCAAGUCGAGCGAACAGACGAGAAGCUUGCUCCUCUGAUGUUAGCGGCGGACGGGUGAGUAACACGUGGAUAACCUACCUAUAAGACUGGGAUAACUUCGGGAAACCGGAGCUAAUACCGGAUAAUAUUUUGAACCGCAUGGUUCAAUAGUGAAAGACGGUCUUGCUGUCACUUAUAGAUGGAUCCGCGCUGCAUUAGCUAGUUGGUAAGGUAACGGCUUACCAAGGCAACGAUGCAUAGCCGACCUGAGAGGGUGAUCGGCCACACUGGAACUGAGACACGGUCCAGACUCCUACGGGAGGCAGCAGUAGGGAAUCUUCCGCAAUGGGCGAAAGCCUGACGGAGCAACGCCGCGUGAGUGAUGAAGGUCUUCGGAUCGUAAAACUCUGUUAUUAGGGAAGAACAUAUGUGUAAGUAACUGUGCACGUCUUGACGGUACCUAAUCAGAAAGCCACGGCUAACUACGUG
RNAcentral lists this ribosomal RNA (497 nucleotides) under uncultured bacterium. RNAcentral describes it as "partial 16S ribosomal RNA". It matches the Rfam family "Bacterial small subunit ribosomal RNA", at positions 28 to 507 of the family's 1533-position model. The record is from RNAcentral.